Molecule: long non-coding RNA, 4163 nt
Organism: Leopardus geoffroyi (Geoffroy's cat)
Lineage: Eukaryota; Metazoa; Chordata; Mammalia; Carnivora; Felidae
Exons: 4
Source: RefSeq, a predicted model, not a curated record
UGCUACCAUAUUAGUGGGAUUUUUUUUCCCACCAAUAUGGAGUAUAAUAGUAUUGGUUUGUUGCUUCUAAGCAUGCCAGAGAGCUUGAGAAAAGAAAGUUAUGAAUGCAGCACUUUAAAUUUUCAAUACAAGAUCUAUAUAAGGGACCUGAAAGUCUCUAUGAAUGCCCACCAUCCUCCAAAUCCUUAUAUUCUGUACAUGCAGGGCUGAGAUUUCUGAAAUCAAACCCAAAUUCUAAUCUUGUAGGUAGUUGUGUUAUAAAAUAAAAUGAAUUUUCAGUUUCACUGGAUCUCUUAGGUUACAUAAAGUAUUGAUAGGAAAACAGAGGCAUUCUAAAAUUUGGAAUGGAAAAAUAUGGGCAUACUCUCAUAAAGUUGGGAUCUUGAAUCCUUAAGUUCUGCUGACAUUGCUCUGUCAGUACAUGCAGCCCUUAUCUGAGAAAAUAUUUUUCAAUUUGUAACUCUAGACAUUUUGGGGAACAUGGGUGGGAAUGGAUCAUAGGGUGAGAGGAAUAUAAAGUUAGCCACAGCUGAGAAAGUUCAAUGGCAGAUGACUGACUGGAAGUAGUAAUGAGAUCACUGCUCCUUCCAUAAUGGGAGUGAUCCCAUGUAAUCGAUCUGUCAUUAGGUGGCUGGCUGAUGCUGCUGGGGACUGAUAUGGUGUCAUAUUAGCAUCAAGAGUCAGUUGGGAGUGGAGUAGGAUAGUGUUUUCUACUGUCCACAGUGUUUUCUACUGUUUGGUACUUGGUGGGUGUAGCUAGAUCUGUGAUGAAGGGAUGUACAUGUUUCUGAGACGAUAUAUACCAUAUAACCUCCGUUUCUGCCACCAUGGCCACUUUUUUCAUAAGCCCAUUAAGCCCUUUGUUUAUAAGUCAGGCUAGCCUCUCCUGCUGCCUUCAUCAGAUUUUCACCUUCCACGUAUCUGAUUUGUGACUCCUAUAGACCAUCUGCAUCAAGGAAGUUGGAGACUUCCAGGUGGCAAGAGACUGCCACAGGUACACGUUGUCCUGGGUUACAGCUCACCCCAAUAUGUUCCAGAUGGUCCUAUUUUCACCCACUUCAUGUGCAGCUAUCUUUCCCAAAUGUUUGCCCUAUCUAGCUCCACACACAUAAAUAACAGACAUCCAUAAACUCUAACAGUUUCACACAGUUGUAUAAAGUGAAAUCCCUAUUUUAAAAAUCCCUCUUUCUAUUCCACUCUCAGUGGUUCUUUUUCUGUGAUCAAACUCUGACUGAAAAAGUCCAGGGGAUCUGUCCUGGGGAGCAAGAGUGAAAGAUAAGAAUAGUGAGGCAGACAAGGAGAGAGAGAGAGCAGAUUUAAGAAUUCAUCACCUAACUUACUCCCAUUAAGGGUGAUUAAUAGCCUGGUACUGAGAGACUAUCACAGCGUCUGAAAAAAACCCCAGCAUCUCAAGAAAGAGAAGAAUUUAUCUGUCAGUUCCUGUUUUUCAUUGGUCAGAAGUUCACCCAAUGGGAUGUUAAAGCUCCCAUAAAGUGUUAACAGGGAAAUCUUGGGGAAAGACACAAGAGACCAUAAGUGCAUUCAUAAAGUAAGGUCCUGUCCGCUUGAGCCUAUGUGAAGUUAGUUGGAGCCCAUGCAAGGCUGGUUGUUUCCAUGGCAGCUGAAAUAGAAAGCAGGUAAGGCUGAGAAAAUCUAAAGUUGUGUCUGUAAGGUUUCUGAUACGUCCACCCCUUGAGCCACACAGACCCACUUCUGCCAGCAUUAUAUCCUCCCACACUGUAAUAUGAGCCUCCACUUUUGUGAAAAUAAAGUUACCCUCACUUUCUUCCCAAGUGGAAAGUUAUAAAUCCAGUGGAGAACAGAGUUUCCUUCAAAACCAAAAUUUCUAACAGGCUAAAAUAAUAAUUUUCCCCUUUGCUGCAGCUUCCCUCAAGAUUAUAGUAGAUAUUCACCACCUGCUACCUCCGUCACCCAUUCGAAAUUUCCUUGCCCUCAGCUGGCACUUUUGCUCAUUUGGAUUGCUUGUCUGGUGUUACGACCUAGAUCAUCAUUCUUCAGGGAUCUGAAACAUUUAGCUGCUUUAUGCUCAUUGGACUGUGGUUGCUGCAACUGUUAAUUUGCUAUUCUCACUUAGAAUGAAAGCACCAAGAGACAUUCAAGGACUCCAUUGAGUUCUAGACUUCCUUCUCUCUGCCCUUACAGUAUCUCUCUGCCCUUGUAGCACGUCUCGUUUCUUAUGGAGAUCAGAGUCAAAACCCCUUGCCUGUAUAGUGCCUUUUUUCUUUGCCUUUUCCUCCAAUGGCAUGAUGAGUUCAAAGUGUUCAGAAAGCUAAUGGGAAUUUAUUGUUUUUCCUAGCUGAAAAUUCCCCCCCCCCUCCCCAGGAACCUGGAAAUUGAAGCCAGCGGAGUCUAAAUUUCCAGGGUUGAGAAGCACAAAUUCUGCAGGUCAUUCUCUGUGAGUAAUGAAGAGAGGGAAGGGUCCUUCUCCCACUAUUGUAUUCAAGAGCCUCGUGUUCCUGUUAUUGGGACACAGCACUGUCAUUCAGUGUAUAUGGUAUAUCCUGAAGGUCAGUGCCUCAACCCUCAAGCUGGUGCUUUAGUUGAGUCUCUAACAGGCCAUUCCAUCUUCUGCUGAUGAUUUCUGGGCAAAACGAUACAUAGUCAAUCUAGUGGAUUCCAUGAUUGUGUACACAUUGCCAUAUCUCACUUGCCAUAAAAUGAGCCCCUUGAUUGGAAGCAAUGUUUAGUGAGACACAUGUUGCUAGAUCAGUCUUUUUGAGUGUCCUGGAUGGUGGUGUUGAUGACGGUGCUAAAAGCAAACCAACAUUUGGAACAGAUGUAGAUUACAGUAGGACAAACUGCUGUUCCCUCCGUAGUGGAAGAGGCCCGGCACAAUCAUCUGAUGCCAAGUAGCUGUCUAGUCUCUGCUGCAAGCAUACGGGGCAUUCAGUAGUAGAAGUAGCUAGAUCUGUUUUGGAAACGGGGAGUCAUGCUGUCAGACUCAUGCAUUGCCUUCGUCCCUGCUAUCAUCAACCCUCUGCUAGUGGGCCCACUGUAUCAGCACCGAGGAAGGAGGGCCAAGAGGCAAACUGACAGGCAUCCUGCUCAUGUGACUGUUGAGAACCUCCCCUGGGGUGGAUAAUCCUGAGACACAAAGAUCUGCUUGCACUGUUUGUGCCUGUUCCCAUAAGUCCCUCCAUCUACGUACCUCCUCCACAGAUCUCAUUUUCCUCAGUCUUUCAAUCUCAUUUGUUUAUAGGCUUUUCUUUGAACAAAGCCAAGCCAUUGGUUUCUACCCAGGGACCCUUGCAUAUCUACCUCUCAGGCUACUCCUUCAUGUAAAGUGAAUGGACAAGUGUAUUUUCUUGCAGCUUUGCCAUCUGUGAGAAAUUCCCUUUACCACUGUCCUUUAGAACCACCCCUGAGGGGCUGGAAUGGAGCUGUAGUAUAUUUUUGUCUAAAAGCACAUAUCACACUAACCCAUCUGUGAUCCAGGCCUAGGUUAUUUUCUCCUUCCUCAGUUGAUCAGAGAGAACACACCUUCAGACCAUAGGUGUGUGAGCUGAUGAAGAGACAUCCAUGCAAUAGAGGCAGGUGACAUGGGAAUAUGGGCCACUUAUUCAUCACCUAUUUCUGUGAUUUACUCAUAACUUCAAGAACUGCCAGCCCUGAUUCUAAAUAUAACACUUCUCUUGUAUAAUGGAUUGCUACUGUUCACAUCUGCCCUUAUAAGUGUGUGGAUCUGAUAAUACUCCAUUCUUAACAGGAAGCUCCAGUUACAGAGGCACUUGGUGUCCCAUGGACAAGUCGAGUUUCUGCUAGGUGCCAAUAACUAUUUUGCAAGUAGAGACUACUCAUACUGCUGAAAGCAUGUCUUUGCUUCAGAACCCAAGAGAGAACUCAUGAAGAGAUGAGAUUGUCAAACUGAAUAAUCUAAAGAGACUCCUUGGUGACUUAACAUGAAGCGAAUGUCUAGAUAUGAGAGAGUAUUUAAGGAGCUUUCUCUUGGGCUGACCUGGUGAGCCACUGCCAUCUUCAAGUGCCGAUGUGGGAUCCUGGAUACCAUAUGAAAAAGAUGUGAUUGAGGACGACUCACCCCGCCAUAUUUUUUGCAAGACUCCUGAAGGAAAGACCUGCGUUUCUCUUGGGCCACAUCCGUUUCCUUCCAUUUGUUGUCUUUGAUUAAACUUUUAUUUAAAGGG